GACGAACGCUGGCGGCGUGCUUAACACAUGCAAGUCGAACGGAAAGGCCCUGCUUUUGUGGGGUGCUCGAGUGGCGAACGGGUGAGUAACACGUGAGUAACCUGCCCUUGACUUUGGGAUAACUUCAGGAAACUGGGGCUAAUACCGGAUAGGAGCUCCUGCUGCAUGGUGGGGGUUGGAAAGUUUCGGCGGUUUGGGAUGGACUCGCGGCUUAUCAGCUUGUUGGUGGGGUAGUGGCUUACCAAGGCUUUGACGGGUAGCCGGCCUGAGAGGGUGACCGGCCACAUUGGGACUGAGAUACGGCCCAGACUCCUACGGGAGGCAGCAGUGGAGAAUAUUGCACAAUGGGCGGAAGCCUGAUGCAGCAACGCCGCGUGCGGGAUGACGGCCUUCGGGUUGUAAACCGCUUUCGCCUGUGACGAAGCGUGAGUGACGGUAAUGGGUAAAGAAGCACCGGCUAACUACGUG
This 468-nucleotide ribosomal RNA is filed under the name uncultured bacterium. RNAcentral describes it as "partial 16S ribosomal RNA". It matches the Rfam family "Bacterial small subunit ribosomal RNA", at positions 28 to 507 of the family's 1533-position model. The record is from RNAcentral.